Molecule: ribosomal RNA, 521 nt
Filed under: uncultured eukaryote
Lineage: Eukaryota
Description: SSU rRNA
Rfam family: Eukaryotic small subunit ribosomal RNA
Source: RNAcentral
GAAAUCAAAGUCUUUGGGUUCUGGGGGGAGUAUGGUCGCAAGGCUGAAACUUAAAGGAAUUGACGGAAGGGCACCACCAGGAGUGGAGCCUGCGGCUUAAUUUGAUUCAACACGGGGAAACUUACCAGGGCAAGACCUUAGAAGGAUUGACAGAUUGAUAGCUUUUUCUUGAUUUGAGGGAUGGUGGUGCAUGGCCGUUCUUAGUUCGUGGAGUGAUUUGUCUGGUUAAUUCCCUUAACGAACGAGACCUUAACCUGCUAACCUAGACGCGGUGAUCCUUUCGCCGUUGUGCUUCUUAGAGGGACUAUGCGUCAAAAAAUGCAUGGAAGUUUGAGGCAAUAACAGGUCAGUGAUGCCCUUAGACGUCCUGGGCCGCACGUGUGCUACACUGGUGCGUUCAGCAAGUUCUAACCUAACCCGAUAGGGGCUGGGUAAUCUUCAUAAUACGCACCGUGCUUGGGAUUGAUCUUUGCAAUUAUGGAUCAUGAACGAGGAAUUCCUAGUAAGUGCAAGUCAUCAUC